RNAcentral lists this ribosomal RNA (206 nucleotides) under uncultured bacterium. Its description in RNAcentral is "partial 16S ribosomal RNA". It matches the Rfam family "Bacterial small subunit ribosomal RNA", at positions 568 to 774 of the family's 1533-position model. The record is from RNAcentral.
AGCGCAGGCGGGCGAUCAAGUUGGAAGUGAAAUCCAUGGGCUCAACCCACGAACUGCUUUCAAGACUGAUUGUCUUGAGUAGUGCAGAGGUAGGCGGAAUUCCCGGUGUAGCGGUGGAAUGCGUAGAUAUCGGGAGGAACACCAGUGGCAAAGGCGGCCUACUGGGCACCAACUGACGCUGAGGCUCGAAAGUGUGGUAGCAAACA